This 490-nucleotide ribosomal RNA is filed under the name uncultured bacterium. RNAcentral's name for it is "partial 16S ribosomal RNA". It matches the Rfam family "Bacterial small subunit ribosomal RNA", at positions 29 to 507 of the family's 1533-position model. The record is from RNAcentral.
AAUGAACGCUGGCGGCAUGCCUUACACAUGCAAGUCGAACGGCAGCAUGACCUAGCUUGCUAGGUUGAUGGCGAGUGGCGAACGGGUGAGUAAUGCAUCGGAACGUGCCUUUUAGUGGGGGAUAACGUAGCGAAAGUUACGCUAAUACCGCAUAUUCUCUGAGGAGGAAAGCAGGGGACCUUCGGGCCUUGCGCUAGAAGAGCGGCCGAUGUCGGAUUAGCUAGUUGGUGAGGUAAGGGCUCACCAAGGCAACGAUCCGUAGCGGGUCUGAGAGGAUGAUCCGCCACACUGGGACUGAGACACGGCCCAGACUCCUACGGGAGGCAGCAGUGGGGAAUUUUGGACAAUGGGCGCAAGCCUGAUCCAGCCAUGCCGCGUGAGUGAAGAAGGCCUUCGGGUUGUAAAGCUCUUUCGGCUGGGAAGAAAUCGCACCCUCUAAUACAGGGUGUGGAUGACGGUACCAGCAUAAGAAGCACCGGCUAACUACGUG